Molecule: ribosomal RNA, 496 nt
Filed under: uncultured bacterium
Lineage: Bacteria
Description: partial 16S ribosomal RNA
Rfam family: Bacterial small subunit ribosomal RNA
Source: RNAcentral
AUGCACGCUGGCGGCGUGCCUAAUACAUGCAAGUCGCGCGAACGGACGAGAAGCUUGCUUCUCUGAUGUUAGCGGCGGACGGGUGAGUAACACGUGGAUAACCUACCUAUAAGACUGGGAUUACUUCGGGAAACCGGAGCUAAUACCGGAUAAUAUUUUGAACCGCAUGGUUCAAAAGUGAAAGACGGUCUUGCUGUCACUUAUAGAUGGAUCCGCGCUGCAUUAGCUAGUUGGUAAGGUAACGGCUUACCAAGGCAACGAUGCAUAGCCGACCUGAGAGGGUGAUCGGCCACACUGGAACUGAGACACGGUCCAGACUCCUACGGGAGGCAGCAGUAGGGAAUCUUCCGCAAUGGGCGAAAGCCUGACGGAGCAACGCCGCGUGAGUGAUGAAGGUCUUCGGAUCGUAAAACUCUGUUAUUAGGGAAGAACAUAUGUGUAAGUAACUGUGCACAUCUUGACGGUACCUAAUCAGAAAGCCACGGCUAACUACGUG